AGUGAGCGUAAAGGGAUCGCAGGUAUUAUUUAUUUGUCCACGCCAUUCGCAACGUUAUAACUCAAAUCGCGGAAUUGGAUUAUCCUCAUGAGAAACGCGAUGUAUCUAACAAAAACCCAAUGAUAAAACGUAAAAGAAAAAGAGUGUCCUGUCAGAAUCAAAGUUUGAAGAGAUUGUCACUAUUUCUAUAUCGCAGACGUAUCGAUCGUCUCAAUAUACAAUGUAUAGUAACUUUCUGUGACUUGUGAUUUAAUUUUCUUGAUGCUGAAGUUAUCCUGAAAGCUUUCUUUCUUAUCUAACAAUGCAGAAUUAUAUUCGGUAGUGCAAUGUAAUGCUAUCACAACGCAUAUCAGUACAACGUGAUCCGUUUCAAGCAAAGCAUCACAUGUUUGUUUAUUUAUUAAAGCUAUUCUACCAACAAGAGUGUUUAGGAUUUAUAAAGGCUUCAACUCAAUCUUGAUGAUACUGCGAGUAUUGUCGCUGGUAAACGAUGUCAGUGACAGUGAGAUUAAGGUACUUAGUCGCCAGUGGCGCAUCAAAAGGGAAGAUCCAUUCUGUAGCUCGGUGACACGUAUUGUUGGUAAACGCGUCUUUUGUCAUCCAAUUGAUCCUGGAAUGUGCCAUCUGCGACGCAGGAAAACUACACGCGGUGACAAUCUUGGAUGGCGUCUUUGCCCUCACAUAUCGGAGUUACGUCAAAACGUCGCGAAGACUGCGACGUGAAAACUUUCAAAGUGGAAAUACAUUUAUCUCCAACACUGUAUUCUUUUAAAUAAACUGACAACGUUGAAAGGAUGUCAGAAUGAAAUAUACAUUCCUUCUUUCAUCAAAGCAUCACCGAUGGAAUUCAACGUACUAUCGACAUUAAAUCACACAGAAAAUUUGACGAGGAUGUGGAAUAACCGUACGAUUAUAUCACGCCGUUGAAAAGCGUAAGCUGCUUGUGCAUAUCGAUUGCAAUCCAAUGUUGCACUGUGCGCGCUCGAUUUAACUAUCGCCGGAAAUAAUUGCAGAUUCAAACAAUGCUGCGCUGCCUAAUACUUAAUGUUCAGUUGCUAUACAGUGUCGAAUCAGAUCGCACGCAUAUAAAAAUAAACGCGAUGCGAUACGAAACGUUAUACUUUCGUCCUCAUGUUUUAGUCAUUUUUUAUCAACGACUGUGCUCAUGAUAGAUGGAACAAAAUCACGUCUCGUAGAAAUUUAAUUCAGAUAUCAAAUCAGAAGAGCAUGUAAUAUGCAGAAGAUAUGAUUGAUUAAUAAAUUAACGAAAUUAAUAUUGAUUAAUGUAGAUGAGCAAGUUAGUGAAUCAAUAUCCUACGUAACUGAAUGAGCAAAAUAAUAAACAAUAUUUGGAGUUGAUCAUUAUAAUAAAUUCUAUUUGCUAUUAAGAAAGAUGCGAAAAGUGCAUAAUAAAUUACGACAAUAUAUGAAAAAUGUUUUCAGCUUAAUUAUUUACGAUUCAUUGUUAUGCAUUUCUAACCAAUAAUGUAUGAAAUUUUGACAAGUGUCGAUUUUCAACGAAAUAAAAAUAUUUCUAAUAAUA
Ooceraea biroi (clonal raider ant) is the source of this 1543-nucleotide long non-coding RNA. RefSeq lists it as uncharacterized. Lineage: Eukaryota; Metazoa; Arthropoda; Insecta; Hymenoptera; Formicidae. The record is from RefSeq and is a predicted model, not a curated record.